RNAcentral lists this ribosomal RNA (433 nucleotides) under uncultured bacterium. Its description in RNAcentral is "partial 16S ribosomal RNA". It matches the Rfam family "Bacterial small subunit ribosomal RNA", at positions 29 to 507 of the family's 1533-position model. The record is from RNAcentral.
AACGAACGCUGGCGGCAUGCCUAACACAUGCAAGUCGAACGAGACCUUCGGGUCUAGUGGCGCACGGGUGCGUAACGCGUGGGAACCUGCCCUUAGGUUCGGAAUAACUCCCCGAAAGGGGUGCUAAUACCGGAUAAUGUCUUCGGACCAAAGAUUUAUCGCCUUUGGAUGGGCCCGCGUUGGAUUAGCUAGUUGGCAGGGUAAAAGCCUACCAAGGCGACGAUCCAUAGCUGGUCUGAGAGGAUGAUCAGCCACACUGGGACUGAGACACGGCCCAGACUCCUACGGGAAGCAGCAGUGGGGAAUAUUGGACAAUGGGCGAAAGCCUGAUCCAGCAAUGCCGCGUGAGUGAUGAAGGCCUUAGGGUUGUAAAGCUCUUUUACCCGGGAUGAUAAUGACAGUACCGGGAGAAUAAGCUCCGGCUAACUCCGUG